GACGAACGCUGGCGGCGUGCUUAACACAUGCAAGUCGGACGGAAAGGCCCUGCUUUUGUGGGGUGCUCGAGUGGCGAACGGGUGAGUAACACGUGAGUAACCUGCCCUUGACUUUGGGAUAACUUCAGGAAACUGGGGCUAAUACCGGAUAGGAGCUCCUGCGGCAUGGUGGGGGUUGGAAGGUUUCGGCGGUUGGGGAUGGACUCGCGGCUUAUCAGCUUGUUGGUGGGGUAGUGGCUUACCAAGGCUUUGACGGGUAGCCGGCCUGAGAGGGUGACCGGCCACAUUGGGACUGAGAUACGGCCCAGACUCCUACGGGAGGCAGCAGUGGGGAAUAUUGCACAAUGGGCGGAAGCCUGAUGCAGCAACGCCGCGUGCGGGAUGACGGCCUUCGGGUUGUAAACCGCUUUCGCCUGUGACGAAGCGUGAGUGACGGUAAUGGGUAAAGAAGCACCGGCUAACUACGUG
RNAcentral lists this ribosomal RNA (468 nucleotides) under uncultured bacterium. RNAcentral describes it as "partial 16S ribosomal RNA". It matches the Rfam family "Bacterial small subunit ribosomal RNA", at positions 28 to 507 of the family's 1533-position model. The record is from RNAcentral.